RNAcentral lists this transfer RNA (77 nucleotides) under bacterium. RNAcentral's name for it is "tRNA-Lys". It matches the Rfam family "tRNA". Rfam says of the family: Transfer RNA (tRNA) molecules are approximately 80 nucleotides in length. The record is from RNAcentral.
GGGCCCAUAGCUCAGCCGGUUAGAGCACUUGCCUUUUAAGCAAGGUGUCGUGAGUUCGAGUCUCACUGGGCCCUCCA